CUUUGCAUAUAUCAUAAAAAUAUAUGUGAUUCUCCCCUCAUCAAUAUUAAAUGAAAGCACUUUUUUAAGCCUCGGAUUUUCCUUGUCUGUAUCAUACACUCUUCACUAUGAGCUGAGCAGGGGUGUUGAAUAGCAUAUAGCACCAGGCCCAUGUGGCCUUCUCACCAUCCUCAGUGUGGGCCUUUCAACUCGAUACCAUGCUCAUCUGAUGUGAUUAUCACAAACCCAUACUUAGCAAGAGAGUUCCCAGCCUAUAAGUAGAUUUAUUCUAUCUUAAGCCUUGGCUUAUAUGAGAGAGGUUUUGUGGCAUCUGGGAGAUGGAGUCAUGGAAAUUUGAUUAAAAAGAAAAAAGGGGGGAAUAUUGUUUGGUCUGUCCUGUUUUGAGGUGAACAAGGUCUCUAGGAACUUUUUCUUAAAGGCUGUGUGAAUCUGUGUUAUUUUAGAAACCCUAUUUCCUCUUACCCUUCUCACGAACCACGUACUCAAAGAUACCGCAUAUUUGACAAUGAAAUACCUGGCCCAGAGGAAAGUAACAAUGAUUUAUAUUUUCAGAAGAGAAGUGUAGUAUUUUGGAGUUAGCUAGAUCUAUCCCUCCCCGCUUUUUUUUAAACAGAUGGAGAAACUGAGUCCUGAAGGAUUAUAACAUCCUUGAAAUUAUACAAAGAACUGAAGUAGCAUCUGGCUUGUCUAGGAGGUCAAGAUGAGAAAGACUUCUCCUUGAUUGGCUCCCUCUUAAAGAGAAAUGCUUUUGCUCAGCAUUGCAACUAUUGACCUUCUGAUUACAUCACUCAUGAUUUUUUAAAAAAUGUUAAAACUUACAUUGAAAAAAUACAUAUGCCACUUUUAAAAUGGAGGCUUUCAGCAGCAUUUCGAUCUAUCCAUAUGUUAUGGUUUGGGCCAAAUUAACCAGCC
Molecule: long non-coding RNA, 912 nt
Filed under: Homo sapiens (human)
Lineage: Eukaryota; Metazoa; Chordata; Mammalia; Primates; Hominidae
Description: HSALNT0282147
Source: RNAcentral